This 22-nucleotide small nuclear RNA is filed under the name Arabidopsis thaliana (thale cress). RNAcentral's name for it is "snRNA_02866". The record is from RNAcentral. Lineage: Eukaryota; Viridiplantae; Streptophyta; Magnoliopsida; Brassicales; Brassicaceae.
UCCCUGGAAAGGGGCGCCAGAG